RNAcentral lists this ribosomal RNA (459 nucleotides) under uncultured bacterium. Its description in RNAcentral is "partial 16S ribosomal RNA". It matches the Rfam family "Bacterial small subunit ribosomal RNA", at positions 338 to 795 of the family's 1533-position model. The record is from RNAcentral.
CCUACGGGCGACUGCAGUGAGGAAUAUUAGUCAAUGGGCGCGAGCCUGAACCAGCCAAGUCGCGUGAGGGAAGACGGUCCUAUGGAUUGUAAACCUCUUUUGUCGGGGAGCAAAAGAUGCCACGCGUGGCGUUCCGAGAGUACCCGAAGAAAAAGCAUCGGAUAACUCCGUGCCAGAAGCCGCGGUAAUACGGAGGAUGCGAGCGUUAUCCGGAUUUAUUGGGUUUAAAGGGUGCGCAGGCGGAAGAUCAAGGCAGCGGUAAAAUUGAGAGGCUCAACCUCUUCGAGCCGUUGAAGCUGGUGUUCUUGAGUGAGUGAGAAGUAUGCGGAAUGCGUGGUGUAGAGGUGAAAUGCAUAGAUAUCACGCAGAACUCCGAUUGCGAAGGCAGCAUACCGGCGCUCAACUGACGCUCAUGCACGAAAGUGUGGGUAUCGAACAGGAUUAGAUACCCGAGUAGUC